CGCUCACGGACGUGCUGGUGAAGCAUCCCCAUGUCUGGGUCAUGACCGACGACAUGUAUGAGCAUCUCGUCUAUGACGGCUUCGAAUUCACAACGCCCGCGCAGGUCGAGCCGAAACUGUUCGACCGUACGCUGACGGUGAACGGCGUGUCGAAAGCCUAUUGCAUGACCGGCUGGCGCAUCGGCUAUGCGGGCGGCCCGC
This 201-nucleotide unclassified non-coding RNA is filed under the name Hevea brasiliensis (rubber tree). Lineage: Eukaryota; Viridiplantae; Streptophyta; Magnoliopsida; Malpighiales; Euphorbiaceae. The record is from RNAcentral.